This 394-nucleotide long non-coding RNA is filed under the name Mytilus galloprovincialis (Mediterranean mussel). Lineage: Eukaryota; Metazoa; Mollusca; Bivalvia; Mytilida; Mytilidae. The record is from RNAcentral.
UUCUAUAAUAAAAUUGAGAAUGGAAAUGGGGAAUGUGUCAAAGAGACAACAACCCGCCCAAAUAAAAAACAACAGCAGAGGGUCACCAACAGGUCUUCAAUGUAGCGAGAAAUUCCCGCACCCGGAGGCGUCCUUCAGCUGGCCCCUAAACAAAUAUAUACUAGUCCAGUGAUAAUGAACGCCAUACUAAUUUCCAAAUUGUACACAAGAAACUAAAAUUAAAAUAAUACAAGACUAACAAAGGCCAGAGGCUCCUGACUUGGGACAGGCGCAAAAAUGCGGCGGGGUUAAACAUGUUUGUGAGAUCUCAACCCUCCCUCUAUACCUCUAACCAAUGUAGUAAAGUAAACGCAUAACAAUACGCACAUUAAAAUUCAGUUCAAGAGAAAUCCGA